RNAcentral lists this ribosomal RNA (429 nucleotides) under Bacteroidota bacterium. Its description in RNAcentral is "Bacteroidetes bacterium partial 16S ribosomal RNA". It matches the Rfam family "Bacterial small subunit ribosomal RNA", at positions 355 to 776 of the family's 1533-position model. The record is from RNAcentral. Lineage: Bacteria; Pseudomonadati; Bacteroidota.
UAGGGAAUCUUCCGCAAUGGACGCAAGUCUGACGGAGCAACGCCGCGUGAGUGAAGAAGGAUUUCGGUUCGUAAAACUCUGUUGUUAGAGAAGAACAGCGCAUAGAGUAACUGUUAUGCGUGUGACGGUAUCUAACCAGAAAGCCACGGCUAACUACGUGCCAGCAGCCGCGGUAAUACGUAGGUGGCAAGCGUUGUCCGGAUUUAUUGGGCGUAAAGCGAGCGCAGGCGGUCAAUUAAGUCUGAUGUGAAAGCCCCCGACUCAACCGGGGAGGGUCAUUGGAAACUGGUUGACUUGAGUGCAGAAGAGGAGAGUGGAAUUCCAUGUGUAGCGGUGAAAUGCGUAGAUAUAUGGAGGAACACCAGUGGCGAAGGCGACUCUCUGGUCUGUAACUGACGCUGAGGUUCGAAAGCGUGGGUAGCGAACAGG